This 253-nucleotide ribosomal RNA is filed under the name uncultured bacterium. RNAcentral's name for it is "partial 16S ribosomal RNA". It matches the Rfam family "Bacterial small subunit ribosomal RNA", at positions 524 to 776 of the family's 1533-position model. The record is from RNAcentral.
UACAGAGGGUGCGAGCGCUAAUCGGAAUUACUGGGCGUAAAGCGCACGUAGUCGGCUUUGCAAGUCGGGUGUGAAAUCCCCGGGCUCAACCUGGGAACUGCAUCCGAGACUGCAUUGCUAGAGUAUGGGAGAGGGAAGCGGAACUUCUGGUGUAGCAGUGAAAUGCGUAGAUAUCAGAAGGAACAUCAGUGGCGAAGGCGGCUUCCUGGACCAAUACUGACGAUCAGGUGCGAAAGCGUGGGGAGCAAACAGG